AUGGAGCUAACCACAGCCACCCUCCUGCUCAUCUCAUUGCCUUUGAUCCUUUUGUCGUCCUUAUUACUUGGCCGCAAAUCCAAAGCAGCAAGGCCUCCUGGUCCAUGGAGCCUCCCGUUCAUCGGAAGCCUACACCACCUCCUCACGCCACUGCCGCACGUCGCUCUCCGUGACCUGGCCAAGAAGCACGGCCCGGUGAUGUACCUCAGGCUGGGCCAGGUGGACGCCGUCGUCAUCUCCUCGCCGGCGGCUGCGCAGGAGGUCCUCCGGGACAAGGACCUCAGCUUCGCGUCGCGGCCCAGCAUCCUGGCCUCGGAGAUCUGCCUUUACGGGAACCUCGACGUCGCCUUCGCGCCCUACGGCGCGUACUGGCGGACCAUGCGCAGGCUCUGCACGACGGAGCUCCUCAGCGCGCGCAAGGUCCGGCAGUUCGCGCCGGUCCGGGGCGGCGAGAUCAUGCGCCUCGUCGAGACGGUCCGCUCAGCCGGCCGAGGUGGUGAACCCGUGAAUCUCGGCGGCCUCGUGAUGGCGUGCACGAACACGGUCACGGCGAAGGUGGCGUUCGGCGAGGGGUGCGCAGGGGAGCUGCAGGCGCAGUUCCUUUCGGCGAUCGAGGUGAUUCUCAGGAGCAGCGGGGGCCUCUGCGUCGGGGACCUCUUCCCGUCUCUGUCGUUCGUCGACGUCGUCAGUGGGAUGAAGCGCCGGCUCUGGCGAGCACGCCGGCAGCUUGACACGGUCCUUGACAAGAUCAUCGCGGAGUGCGAGGAGCGGCGAGAGCAGAACAAGACCGGAGACGACGAGGACCUCCUGAGAGUCUUGCUUCGGGUCAGGGACGAGGGGCAGCUCGAGGUCCCCAUGGGCACCACUAACAUCAAGGCAGUCAUAGCGGAUAUGUUCGCUGGAGGGACGGAGACGACUGCAUCAACCACCGAGUGGGUCAUGUCGGAGCUCAUAAGGAACCCAAGCGCAAUGGCCAAGGCGCAGAAGGAGGUGCGGUGUGCAUUCAACCACAAGAACCCAGAAGACCAUGAGGCUCACAUGGAAGAGCUAUGCUACACAAAGAUGGUAGUUAAGGAGGCCAUGAGGCUUCACCCGGUGGUUCCGCUCUUGCUCCCCCGUGUCUGCAGGGAGACCUGCGACGUCCGCGGGCUCAGGGUCGAGGAGGGCACUCGCGUCUUCGUGAACGCAUGGGCGAUGGCGAGGAGCCCUGAGUACUGGCAGGAUGCAGAGGAGUUCAGGCCAGAGAGGUUCGAGGACAACGCGGCGGACUACAAAGGCACGCAGCUAGAGUACCUGCCAUUUGGAAGUGGAAGGAGGAUGUGUCCUGGGAACAUCUUUGCAUUGGCCUUGGUAGAACUCGUCGUGGCACGACUUCUGUACUAUUUCGACUGGAGCCUCCCUGCCGGAAUGCAGCCGGAUGAGCUGGACAUGGACAUCGUUGUAGGCUUGACGGCAAAGAGAAGCAACCAGCUGCUCCUGGUGGUGUCACCAUAUAAUGUGCCGAUCCACAAGGAGAUUGAUGAAUGCAAAGCUCACUGA
This 1539-nucleotide ribosomal RNA is filed under the name Triticum aestivum (bread wheat). RNAcentral describes it as "partial small subunit ribosomal RNA". The record is from RNAcentral. Lineage: Eukaryota; Viridiplantae; Streptophyta; Magnoliopsida; Poales; Poaceae.